Non-coding RNA from Misgurnus anguillicaudatus (oriental weatherfish), 2779 nucleotides. NCBI's taxonomy places the organism in Eukaryota, Metazoa, Chordata, Actinopteri, Cypriniformes, Cobitidae. The record is from RefSeq and is a predicted model, not a curated record.
ACCCAGAUAGCAAAAAAUAUCCGCAGGACUUCUUUUUGCCGCCAGCCCUAAGCUGUCGGCUAUAGGUGCGUCCCGCUGGCGGGGAUGAAACGUUUGCCGCCGAAUACGUCACUCCCCUCUCUUGCGAUUUGCCGCCGGCAUGCAGCCGGCGGCCCGACUGCUUAAUUUUCUCUGGCGGUUGCCUCCGUCUAAUAGACCGCGGCAGGCUGGCGGCAAGCCGCUUUGAAAUCUUCUCAAACUCAACAUUGGCCAUUGGAGUUAAAGUACUGACAGCAUUUUAACUUUCACAUUUGAGCGGUUAUAAAAUCAUAAUAGCCUAUAUAUGUGAAUUAUAUCAAAUAGGAUAGUUGUUUUGCUCCAAAGCAAAGAUAUGUAAGUUAUGUUUAUACGAAUGUGUUUUAAGUUAGUUUCCUUUUUUACACCCUGAGUUCAAGCAUGUUUCACAUGCAUCUAAAGCCAGUAGGGUUUAUAACAGAUUCUUGAAGUUUUAGGAAAUUACAUUUAAAUUACUUUUAAACUCUGAAGCGAUUAUACAGUAAUAUAUGUGAAAUAUAUCGAAUUAUUUUAUCACUUAGGUGAACAUUUGUACAUGUCUUUGAUUUAUGCACUUGACUGGAAAUUUCCUUUAUGUCUUUCAUUAUUUUCCAACAUCGAUUUAAUUUUUUUUACCUUUUACAUGUACAAGGAUUAUUUUGCGAUUGCGACCUGUACAAAUUAAUUGAGAGAAAAAAGAAAGUGUUAAAGCACAAACAGUGAAGUACCGCCACCGGUCGACAGGGGCAGCACUUAAAAAAGACGGAAGAAUUGUAAACCGGAAGAUAACGUGUCCUCCCAGAGAGCACUCGGCGUCACACAUUUCAGUGUUUGAAGAGAGGAUCAAGAUACAGAUUUAAGACAAAAGUCAUCAAUUACGAUCGUUUAAAUAGCUUGCCCAGAGCACAGCAUCUCGUGCACAGCAUGAAGUUUUCAGCUAUCAAGAUUUCUAGAGGCUCCAGAAUGAAAACCAAGCCCUGCACUGCAAAAAAUGAAAGUCUUGCUUGGUUUUCUUUUGUCUUGUUUUCUAAUAUUAGUAUCUGAAAAUUCUUAAAUUGAGACACUGACUUUGUAAGCAAGUGGCUUAAGAUAUUAAGUUUUGUUUAUUGAAAUAAAUUAUGAAAAUCGGGAGUUUUUUGUUACUUAAAACAAGUAAAAAAUUGCCUGUGCAGUAAGAAAAAUAAACUAAAUUCCAGUUUUUAACUUAAUCAACUUAAAUUAAGUUUGUUUUUCUUACUGCAUUGGCAGAUAUUUUGACUUGUUUUAAGUAAAAAGAAAAACUCUUGAUUUUUAUCAUUUAUUUCAAUAACAAGACUUAAUAUCUUAAGCCACUUGCUUACCAAGUCAAUGUAUCUCAAUUUGAGAAUUUUUAGAUAUUUAUAUUAGAAAACAAGACAAAAAAACUAGGUAAGACAAUCAUUUUUUGCAGUGUGAGGGUGAAGAACCAAGCCCCGAGGGAACGUAGUGAACGAGCAGCUUCGGAUGACAGCGGCUUACAUUUAAUGUUGCUUGACAACACUUUGAGGCAGGAUAAAAUGCUCCAGGAACAAGUUCUUUAGAGUAUCUUCUCUAAUCACCUUUCAAUUAAUACAACCUGGACUGGUGUAGGGAAUCAAGCAUGUUUUAGAGACCUGUUUCUGAAGACCAUUGUUCAAAGAGCCAUCCGAAAGAACCCGGCAACCCAGGAUGCCACUGAUGGGGCUGUCCAGGUUAAUGUUACGCGUAACCUGAAAGGAGCAUCUGACCGUGAAGGCGGAUAAAGGCGGCACACAGCUGAGAGGGACCCACAGCUGACCCCUUAAACCGAGGCUGACUACUGACACCCCAGCAUCACUGACAACUGGAACCCUUUCUUUAUCCUGCAGUCAGUAACAUCAAGAAGCCUGAAAUGUGACAGUACACUCAACCAAUCCACACUUCACUGUGAAAAUUACUUUUCUUUUUUUCCAAAUUCCCUGGGACCCUGCCUUGAUGGCAGCUCCUCGGAAAGAUAUGGAAUGGCGAGAAGGUUUGUCCUUUAUACAGGUGCACGAGAUAAAGUACUGAUCAUAAGCGCCUCAUGCUUAUACAUUACAUUCAUGUGGAUCUUUUUUAAUGUCUUUAGUGUCUUUUACUGUUUUUUUUGUCAUGUGGAUUUGUUUUUUUAAUCAUUCUGUUUAUGUUGAUGUGUGUUGUGUUAUAAGCUACUGGGACCUUGAAUUUCCCAUUGAGGAUCAAUAAAGUAUCUGUUCAUUUUUCAUUCACAAGAGACAGAUCAUAUUGCAGCAAAGUAAAAAUAUUGUGUCCCAGGUCAGCAAUGCCAUUAUAAUAGUCUAUUCUAGUCCAGAGCUUUACUCUAAAUCAGUGGUUCUCAAUCCUGUUCCUGGGGACCCCCUGCUUUGCACAUUUUGUAUGUAUUCCUUAUCUAACACACCUGACUCUAAUCAUCUCAUUAGAUGAGAGCUCCAUGAACUAAGCACAGUGUGUCAGGUUAGACAGACAUACAAAAUGUGCAGAGCAGGGGGUCCCCAGGAACAGGAUUGAGAACCACUGCUCUAAAUGAUUAACACUUAUCCUAUUGUUAGAAAUGACUAUUAUUUGGUAUGCUGGCCAUUCUUUGGUACCAAAUAUCCUCAUUACUUAAUAUAAUGUUUACUGGUAGCCUAAUUAUUUUCAUCUUAGAGCUGACCUCUAAAUUAUUAACAAUUGUUGAAAAUGUUCUAAUUUGCUUGUAAUGUUUUUUUUUAAACUAGAAUUUAUUUGAAAA